RNAcentral lists this ribosomal RNA (452 nucleotides) under uncultured organism. RNAcentral describes it as "partial 16S ribosomal RNA". It matches the Rfam family "Bacterial small subunit ribosomal RNA", at positions 332 to 800 of the family's 1533-position model. The record is from RNAcentral.
UACACUCCUACGGGAGGCAGCAGUGGGGAAUAUUGGACAAUGGGCGCAAGCCUGAUCCAGCCAUGCCGCGUGAGUGAUGAAGGCCCUAGGGUUGUAAAGCUCUUUCACCGGUGAAGAUAAUGACGGUAACCGGAGAAGAAGCCCCGGCUAACUUCGUGCCAGCAGCCGCGGUAAUACGAAGGGGGCUAGCGUUGUUCGGAUUUACUGGGCGUAAAGCGCACGUAGGCGGACUAUUAAGUCAGGGGUGAAAUCCCGGGGCUCAACCCCGGAACUGCCUUUGAUACUGGUAGUCUUGAGUUCGAGAGAGGUGAGUGGAAUUCCGAGUGUAGAGGUGAAAUUCGUAGAUAUUCGGAGGAACACCAGUGGCGAAGGCGGCUCACUGGCUCGAUACUGACGCUGAGGUGCGAAAGCGUGGGGAGCAAACAGGAUUAGAUACCCCUGUAGUUCCAUGA